RNAcentral lists this ribosomal RNA (496 nucleotides) under uncultured bacterium. RNAcentral's name for it is "partial 16S ribosomal RNA". It matches the Rfam family "Bacterial small subunit ribosomal RNA", at positions 28 to 507 of the family's 1533-position model. The record is from RNAcentral.
GACGAACGCUGGCGGCGUGCCUAAUACAUGCAAGUUGAGCGCUGAAGGUUGGUACUUGUACCAACUGGAUGAGCAGCGAACGGGUGAGUAACGCGUGGGGAAUCUGCCUUUGAGCGGGGGACAACAUUUGGAAACGAAUGCUAAUACCGCAUAAAAACUUUAAACACAAGUUUUAAGUUUGAAAGAUGCAAUUGCAUCACUCAAAGAUGAUCCCGCGUUGUAUUAGCUAGUUGGUGAGGUAAAGGCUCACCAAGGCGAUGAUACAUAGCCGACCUGAGAGGGGGAUGGCCAACAUGGGAACGGGAACCCGCCCAAAACCCUACCGGGAGCAGCCAGUGGGGAAUUUUCGGCAAUGGCGGAAAGCUUGACCGAGCAACGCGGGGUGGGGGAGGAAGGUUUCCGGAUCGUAAACCUCGGUUGGUGGGGAAGACGGUUGGGGGGGGUGAAAAGCCCAUCAGGUACGGGAACCAACCAGAAAGGGACGGCUAACUACGUG